GAUGAAGAACGUAGCGAAAUGCGAUAAGUAAUGUGAAUUGCAGAAUUCAGUGAAUCAUCGAAUCUUUGAACGCACAUUGCGCCCGUCAGUAUUCUGGCGGGCAUGCCUGUUCGAGCGUCAUUACGCCCCUCAAGUCCCCUGUGGACUUGGUGUUGGGGAUCGGCGAGGCUGGCUUUCCAGCACAGCCGUCCCUUAAAUUAAUUGGCGGUCUCGCCGUGGCCCUCCUCUGCACAGUAGUAAAACACUCGCAACAGGAGCCCGGCGCGGUCCACUGCCGUAAAACCCCCCAACUUUUUAUAGUUGACCUCGAAUCAGGUAGGACUACCCGCUGAACUUAAGCAUAUCAAUAAGCGGAGGA
This 358-nucleotide unclassified non-coding RNA is filed under the name soil metagenome. RNAcentral describes it as "partial contains 5.8S ribosomal RNA, internal transcribed spacer 2, and large subunit ribosomal RNA". The stretch from base 1 to 120 matches the Rfam family "5.8S ribosomal RNA", at positions 35 to 154 of the family's 154-position model. The record is from RNAcentral.